ACGGCUUUCGGAGAUGGCAUACCUCCCGUAACCGCCGCGUCAGCGGCUGAUGAUGCCUACGAGUUC
Molecule: non-coding RNA, 66 nt
Filed under: Paraburkholderia unamae
Lineage: Bacteria; Pseudomonadati; Pseudomonadota; Betaproteobacteria; Burkholderiales; Burkholderiaceae
Description: Fluoride
Rfam family: Fluoride riboswitch aptamer (crcB RNA motif)
Source: RNAcentral